Molecule: transfer RNA, 73 nt
Filed under: Candidatus Doriopsillibacter californiensis
Lineage: Bacteria; Pseudomonadati; Pseudomonadota; Gammaproteobacteria; Candidatus Tethybacterales; Candidatus Persebacteraceae
Description: tRNA-Glu
Rfam family: tRNA
About the family: Transfer RNA (tRNA) molecules are approximately 80 nucleotides in length. Their secondary structure includes four short double-helical elements and three loops (D, anti-codon, and T loops).
Source: RNAcentral
GUCCCUAUCGUCUAGAGGCCUAGGACACCGCCCUUUCACGGCGGCAACAGGGGUUCAAAUCCCCUUGGGGAUG